Molecule: unclassified non-coding RNA, 330 nt
Filed under: soil metagenome
Description: partial contains 5.8S ribosomal RNA, internal transcribed spacer 2, and large subunit ribosomal RNA
Rfam family: 5.8S ribosomal RNA (bases 1-120)
Source: RNAcentral
GAUGAAGAACGUAGCGAAAUGCGAUAAGUAAUGUGAAUUGCAGAAUUCAGUGAAUCAUCGAAUCUUUGAACGCACAUUGCGCCCCUUGGUAUUCCGAGGGGCAUGCCUGUUCGAGCGUCAUUAUAACCCCUCAAGCUUAGCUUGGUGUUGGGGCCUGCUGUAAUAGAGCAGCCCUUAAAAUCAGUGGCGGUGCCAUUAGGCUCUAAGCGUAGUAAUUCUUCUCGCUAUAGGGUUCUGGUGGAUGCUUGCCAACAACCCCCAACUUCUUAAGGUUGACCUCGGAUCAGGUAGGGAUACCCGCUGAACUUAAGCAUAUCAAUAAGCGGAGGA